GCGAACGGGGAAGAGCCCAAACCGGCGUUGUGGCAACGCAUCGCCGGGGUUGUAGGACCGCGCCGUUGUACCUUGCGUGUGAGGAGAACUCUCCUGGAAAGAGAGGCCGUAGCGGGUGAUAGCCCCUUAUCCGAAGCACAAUGGGACAUAGCGGUAUCCUGAGUAACGCGGGACACGAGAAAUCCUGCGCGAACCGGCCGGGACCAUCCGGUAAGGCUAA
RNAcentral lists this ribosomal RNA (220 nucleotides) under uncultured Thalassiosira. RNAcentral's name for it is "partial Bacterial large subunit ribosomal RNA". It matches the Rfam family "Bacterial large subunit ribosomal RNA", at positions 253 to 469 of the family's 2925-position model. The record is from RNAcentral. Lineage: Eukaryota; Bacillariophyta; Thalassiosirophyceae; Thalassiosirales; Thalassiosiraceae.